AAGAGAGAUAAUCUGUGCCACAGAUGCUGGCCCUGCAGUUAGCUCCCACCUAGUCCGUGCACACACAUUCUAAUCCCCUCCCAUUCCUUUACAUGCUGCGGCCAGAGAGGCCUUUCUCAAAGUGGAAGUCUCAUCCUCACUUCUCUGGUUACAGUGCUGGGCCAUGGUAACUUACAAGGCUUAGCAGGAACUGUCUGCGCACUCCCCCUUCCUGCCCACUACCUUGUUUCCCUCCAGUUGCGAGAGAAAACAUUGAUUGAGCAUUAACUAUGUGCCAGGCUUGUCCUAAGUCCUUUGCAUGUAUUCACUCAAACAAUCCUCACAACAUUCCUAUCACAUCUCCCAUUUCACAGUGAGGGUUCUAAAGCACGUAGUGGGUGAGGAACUUGUCCAGGGUCACACAACUAAGUGGGGGUGGAGAAACAUCAAAUCUAGGUGGUCCAGGUGGUGGCCAGAACCCAUCAGCACCUCACUACAGCUGCCUCCAGUUUCUCGCUCUAGGAAAUACUCUUCCCUGUCAACUCCUGUUGUCCUCUGGGCUCAGUUGACAUGUCAUCUCCUUGAGGAGGACAUCCUGAGAUGCUCCCCGACUAGGGUGGGCACCCACUUCCACACUCCAAAUGCCUAUUUGACCUGUGUAUCGCUGCAUCCCCACUGCCUGGCAGAUAGCAGGCCCCUAAUAAAUAUGAUUUGAGCAAAUAAAUAUAGUUCUUCAAAAAAUAGGGAGGACUUCUUGCUUCAGGUAAUGGUAGGCUAGGACAUUUGGACCAACCCUCCUGCAGAAAAUAGCCAUUUAUUUUGAUGCAAUAUAUCUGGCUAUGACUAGAGAUUUCAAAUAUUUGGAGGGCUAUUAUGUGAAGAACUAAACUUACUCUUUGUGACAUAGAGGUCAGAAAUUGGUCGUUUCCAUAGAGUAUGAGAGAGACAGAAUUGUGCUCAUCAUAAGUAUCUUUUUUAAAAGUUAGACUUAAUAAAAUGGGCUGCCUUGGUAGGUGGUGAGUUCUCUGUCACGAAAGAGAUUCAGCCACUUGCUCUGAGAAAGCAUGGAGAAUAUCAACAUUGUAA
This 1065-nucleotide long non-coding RNA is filed under the name Homo sapiens (human). Its description in RNAcentral is "non-protein coding lnc-TRIM26-2:36". The record is from RNAcentral. Lineage: Eukaryota; Metazoa; Chordata; Mammalia; Primates; Hominidae.